Molecule: ribosomal RNA, 468 nt
Filed under: uncultured bacterium
Lineage: Bacteria
Description: partial 16S ribosomal RNA
Rfam family: Bacterial small subunit ribosomal RNA
Source: RNAcentral
GACGAACGCUGGCGGCGUGCUUAACACAUGCAAGUCGAACGGAAAGGCCCUGCUUUUGUGGCGUGCUCGAGUGGCAAACGUAAGAGUAUCACGUGAGUAACCUGCCCUCGACUUUGGACUAACUUCAGGACACUGGGGCUAAUACCGCAUAGGAGCUCAUGCUCCCUGGUGGGGGUUGGCAAGUUUCGACGGUGGGGGAUGGGCGGGUGGCUAAUCAGCUUGUGGGUGGGGUCGUGUCUGACCAAGACUUUGACGGGUAGCCGGCCUGAGAGGGGGACCGGCAACAUUAGUACUGAGGUAAGGCGCAGAAGACUACGGGGGGAAGCAGUGGGGAGUAAUGCACAAUGGGGGGAAGACGGAUGAAGGAACGCUGCGUGCGGGAGGAAGGCCUUCGGGGGGUAAAGCGCUUUUGCCCGUGACGAAGAGGGAGUGACGGUAAUGGGUAAAGAAGCACCGGCUAACUACGUG